This 428-nucleotide ribosomal RNA is filed under the name uncultured bacterium. Its description in RNAcentral is "partial 16S ribosomal RNA". It matches the Rfam family "Bacterial small subunit ribosomal RNA", at positions 354 to 796 of the family's 1533-position model. The record is from RNAcentral.
GUAGGGAAUAUUGCACAAUGGGGGAAACCCUGAUGCAGCGACGCCGCGUGAGUGAUGAAGGCCUUCGGGUCGUAAAGCUCUGUCGUAUGGGACUAACACAAUGAAGGUACCAUGCAAGAAAGGAUCGGCUAACUUCGUGCCAGCAGCCGCGGUAAGACGAGGGAUCCUAGCGUUGUUCGGAAUCAUUGGGCGUAAAGCGGGUGUAGGCGGAUUUAUCAGUCAGGUGUGAAAUCCCAGGGCUCAACCCUGGAAGUGCACUUGAUACUGUAAAUCUUGAGUGUGGUAGAGGUUACUGGAAUUGUUGGUGUAGUGGUGAAAUACGUAGAUAUCAACAGGAAUACCGGAGGCGAAGGCGAGUAACUGGGCCAACACUGACGCUGAGACCCGAAAGCGUGGGGAUCAAACAGGAUUAGAAACCCUAGUAGUCC